Molecule: long non-coding RNA, 4749 nt
Filed under: Actinidia chinensis (golden kiwifruit)
Lineage: Eukaryota; Viridiplantae; Streptophyta; Magnoliopsida; Ericales; Actinidiaceae
Description: long non-coding RNA (ACHI_LNC001432)
Source: RNAcentral
UUGCUCUCCAAACACACCCAUUUUCUUGGGUCUUCCUCAAUCAAUGAACACCCCAUUUGGGUUUUCAGCAUUUGAAUGAGACUUUAGAGGUUAGGGAGAUUUAAAACGGUUAUGUAACUGUGGCAGAUUGCAGAAUGAGACUAAAAUAAACGUGGGUACCCUUUCCCUCUCCAUGCCGAUGCUCUCAGCAAUGCCAAUUUCAGUCGAAGCUGAUGAACUGGGUCCUAAAGCCUUAAAUUGACAACAAUGGACUCCCAACUCCAAUCAGAGGCAUCAACCAAGUCAUUUUUUUUAAGACUUUAGCAGGAAUUUUUAGGAGGACCAAAUGAAGGAACUAAGUAAAACAAUAGCAAUGAGACUCCCUCCCUUCCUCCAGAGCUUGCUAGGCACUUUCACAUUCUUGGGCAAAGGAUAUUAUUUGCCAUUGGAAAGUCAGCAUUUUCUCAGGGUUAAAGAACAGAAAGAGGUAAGCUCCACUGAUCUUGGAAGUUCACACGGUAUCUACCUUAAGGGGCAAUCAUUGUAGGCUAAAGUCUUACUGUUCUGGGAAAAUAGAUGGGACCUAUUUUAUAUACUGGUUACUGCCGUUCUCUUCUAUAGACUUCAAAAUUCAAACUGUUUACGUAAAACGACAAUUAAGCUAAUACAGAGAGCAGUAUGAAGAGCAUACACUACUAUCAUAAGACUAAUUAUAUACUGAUAAAAUUCAUCACUAGCAUAAAACCAAAACCAUAUUCAACAACAUAGAGUGUUACAAAGUCGGAAGCAAAAAUAAGUGUCACACUUUUUAUAUUAGCACAAUACAAGGCAUAGACAUUUCAUCUCUCGUCUCAUGUUGACACCCAAAGCUCAGAUGCCUAAUAAUUUAUUACCAUCAUGAUACACACCGAUAGAAAAGAACACCAGCUACUCAUAAUAACUAUCGCCAAAACGCCUUCCCUAAUCCUGCAUUGAAAAAGCAUAUAUCUUAAGCCACGAUUAAUGGUAGAUCCGUCAGGCAUUGUAAAACAAAGUUAUAGUAAUAACAAAGUAUGGCAGUCUGAAAAUACAGGACAUACAAUUGAUAUUUCAAUAUCCAUUUGGACAACAUGCACAUUUUAAAGACCGAUAUAUUUGUCAAAAUAGGACAUGUGGAUUCGUUAUUGAAAUUUAAAUCAACAUUGACAACUUUCAUAAUUGUAUAACUAGCAUUUUCUCUUACUGAUGCUAUUAUAACAAAAUUUGAUAAGCACAUAAAUUGCUCAAUAUAGAUGAUGAUAUAUGUCAAAGAGCAUAUAACUAUGAAAAUAUACCUACAUUUUAAAGGCAGCAUGGAGAUGUACUUUUGUUAUCUAACUGAUAUAUUCAAUUGCAAAGGUAUACACUAUACAUACACCCAACUAUACCAUUUGUCUCAAUGGCAAUUCUAAUUAUUUUCCCAUGAUGUACAAGAAUUUUACAGACUCAUGUUCCCUUAUCAGAGCCACAAUGCCAGUAUGUCUUGACUUAACUUCCACCAUCUGAAAUUUUACUCAGUCCAUUUCUCCAUAAUACAUCAGACAUCCUAUAUUGUUGUGAUAGAAACCACUCAACAUUCCCAUUAGCAAUUAUAUUACCAAAGAAGUAUCAGCCAUUGAACAAUUUUCUAAUUUUGAGAAGCAUUGUGCCACUCGUGACACUAUUAUUGACCAGUGAGCAAGCAAAGCAAGAGAAGAAAGACUUUACACGGAACAUACAAAAGUUUAGUAUUCACAUACAAAACCUGUAUGCUUCCAUAUGACAAUGAUAAGUGGCGCUCAGUAUACUUCUAAUUAUUGCCUAAUCCAGUUGUAAGAAUCAACAAAAAGAUAAAACAAAAACAACUAGAAAAUUUAGAAAGAGUUAACAUGAGCAUCAGACCAAAAAAGACAAAACAAGAAGAAUCGGUAAAAAGCCACAAAGUCCACGAUGUACCUCCUCCUCCUCCUCACCCCCAUCCUCUUUUUUACUCUUCUUAAGACGGGUUGUACCAACCUCCUUGCUGAUGAGCAACUUCAUUGCUCCAAAGGGCGUGUCCACAUUGAUGUAUCCUUUCAUGGUUUAACCAGUACCUUUCCCUCUAAUCAUGUCCCAAAGAGCAGAUCCAAAGUCUUUAGGCGUGAAGGUGAUGGGAAUAUCAAAGUAACUAAUACCAUUUUUAGCAAUGGUAGUAGAUUCUGACAAUUCUGCACCUCCGAUACAUCAGAAAGCCAAACCUCAUAUUCAAGUGCCUUCAGGCCCAAAUCAAAGUCAUUCUUAUUUUCCAAUUUCAAAUGAAGAACUGCAACGGUUUCUUCAAAAGAGAAUCUCUGAAAACAUAUUUUCUCAAGAUCAAUAUCAGGCUUGUAGGGAAUGUGGAUCUCUCCAGUUUUCUCAAGUGGACCCAAAAACAGGCACAUCAACUAUGAGGUCAAACUUGACCUUAUAAGGAAUGAUACUUCCAGGCUUUAUAUCAUCAUAUGUAUUUUUAAUGUCAUCGUAGGCGAGCGAAACUGGUAUCUUGAGAGUCUCAGAACCAUGAGCAUGUAUUGUCCCAGCAUCAGGGAUCAAUCCAGAAACCAGUUUCCUCUCAUCGCUCUCAAUUAAGUAGUUUAUGUCAAUGAGAGAAAUCGGAAUCGGAUUCGGAUUCGGAUUUUUCACAAGGGCAUCAACAACUAUAUCUGCCUUCUCAAGAUUAAUAGAAGGAAUGUGAAUCCCUGUAACAUCAGCAGUUGGCUAGCAAAAUCCAAUGGUUUCCUCUAUCUUCUCACCAAUGCCAUGAAUAAAAUCCUUUACUUUUUCAAUAAAUCCACCCUUCCCUUCUUUGUCAUCUUCUUUCUCCUUCACAUCCCUUUCAACUAUCUUUGGCUUAUCAGAUGAUGCCAUACCUUAAUAACAACGCAUUCAAGAUGUAAAAAGAAUAAGCUAGUAGAAUAACAAGAACUCUAGAGAUGAUAUAAAACUUAAAAAGAAAAUAAGUUACAAGGAAACAAAUAACAAAGGAUAAGUGUAUCAGGUUACCAAUCAUGCACUUUACAUCACUUCUACCGGUAUUGUCAAAAAAACAUUACAUCCAAUUUUUCUUAUGAGUUCUAUGUUCAAAAAAAUCAUGAACUUUUGAUCAAGAAGGGGAAGGUAGUAUAAAUAUUAUAAAAAUCGAGUAAUACAUGCAGAAACACAAAGGAUAAGUGUAUCAGGUUACCAAUCUAAAAAACAAUACCAAGGUCAACACUUGGCCAGUCAUGGAUCGUGAAAAAAGGACUCACUGUUCUAGAUCCACCUUCUAUAGUAGGUUAGACUCUACUACCGCAGUAGACUAUGUGCUUCUAACUUCAAAGUUCCAUGACUAGCACUUGGGUGGGUGUUGUGCCUCCUUGCUGUGAGGAGUGGUGGUAACGACUUUGUGUCCACUAAUGUGGUCCAAACCAUCCAAUUGGUAGGGCUUACUGAGUAGAUGAUUUAUACAAACACUCAAGCUGAUUGGACAUCGCGUGACUCAUGGUUGGUCAAUUCUCAAAAUCAUACAUGCCUGUCUAUUUUUUUCAUGACAAAUGUGAUCUAAUCACGUGGCUAGUAAUGCCCAAUCAAACUAUUUUUUGUGUAGAUAAUCUUCUCAAGUGGCACCAUUCUAAUAGUUCGGACCACAUCAGUGGACUCGGGGUAGGGCCCACAGCCCCUCACCCACCCCAAAUCUCCAGGACUAGAGAUUCGUCUUAAUGCCGAUGAAUUAACAUGAUGCAAGGCGCACCAAUUCUCUUGCAAUGAAAAAAAUACAGAAUAAUAGAAGUAGGAUUGCAGAAUCCACAGUCAGUUUAUCACCGAUCAACCAAAUCACUACACGAACAAAUUUAUACCUUUAUACAUUAAAGCGCAAGUAGGGGAAUCGAUCCAUAAUGUCAAUUGUCAAGUACUCGAAUCCAACUUCAAUACAUGACAAAAACAAAAGAAUAUGCAGAUCGGAGACUACGACAUCCGGAUGAGCAACGAUAAUAAAUAAAAACAGAGCUAAGAAACACACACACACACACACACAGUUGGCGUGUAACUUCGGUUUUCUAAAUUUUUUUGUUUGUUUGUUUUUCCAUAAUCCAAAACAGUACAUUUAGCCGCAACAGCAAGAAAUCCCGAGAAAAUGACAGAAAAGAGUAGAAAAUAAGGAUCUGAUGGACGAACAAAGAGAUUCACAAUAAAAUUAACAACAGUCGGUGAAGCCGAUUAGAUCUGUGGGACGCGCUCCAACCGAUCACCACCAAACAUAAAAAUCAACCUCAUUUCAACAUAAUCACAAGAGAGAGAGAGAGAGAGAGAGAGAGAACAGCUGGGAAACAAGCUAGCGAUCUAAUUACCUUGAAAGGAGUAACGAUGCAAUCGAAGAUGAUCCAAAUUCACUGAAUUUUUUCGUGUCCGAAGAUAGACGAGACUCACGAGAGGAGAGAGAGAGAGAGAGAGAGAGUGUGAAGGAGUAAUGAAAAAAGUGAACACUUUUAGGGGUACACAGAUGACACGAUUCUAUGGAAACGGUCGUUGAAGAAUUAAAAACUUGCCGACACGCUCACACGCUAAACGCAGGAAAUACUUGCUUUCCGCAAUGUUUUGAAAUUCGGACAAUUAAGCGAACUAAAAAAAGAAUCGGGUCACGGAUUAUCGAUUUAAUCGUCGGGCAAAAGAUUGUCCAAAGCGGGAGACGUUGUAUGCCAUUGUUAUUGAUGGAGUAAGGAGGGAUCUGAUUCAGAUACAGCUAGAGUUAAUCCAUUGCAAUUAUUAAAUGCAAUU